Molecule: ribosomal RNA, 492 nt
Filed under: uncultured bacterium
Lineage: Bacteria
Description: partial 16S ribosomal RNA
Rfam family: Bacterial small subunit ribosomal RNA
Source: RNAcentral
AGUGAACGCUGGCGGUAGGCCUAACACAUGCAAGUCGAACGGCAGCACAGUAAGAGCUUGCUCUUACGGGUGGCGAGUGGCGGACGGGUGAGGAAUACAUCGGAAUCUACUUUUUCGUGGGGGAUAACGUAGGGAAACUUACGCUAAUACCGCAUACGACCUACGGGUGAAAGCAGGGGAUCUUCGGACCUUGCGCGAUUGAAUGAGCCGAUGUCGGAUUAGCUAGUUGGCGGGGUAAAGGCCCACCAAGGCGACGAUCCGUAGCUGGUCUGAGAGGAUGAUCGGCCACACUGGAAGUGAGACACGGUCCAGACUCCUACGGGAGGCAGCAGUGGGGAAUAUUGGACAAUGGGCGCAAGCCUGAUCCAGCCAUACCGCGUGGGUGAAGAAGGCCUUCGGGUUGUAAAGCCCUUUUGUUGGGAAAGAAAAGCAGCAGGUUAAUACCCCGCUGUUCUGACGGUACCCAAAGAAUAAGCACCGGCUAACUUCGUG